RNAcentral lists this ribosomal RNA (443 nucleotides) under uncultured bacterium. Its description in RNAcentral is "partial 16S ribosomal RNA". It matches the Rfam family "Bacterial small subunit ribosomal RNA", at positions 338 to 795 of the family's 1533-position model. The record is from RNAcentral.
CCUACGGGGGGCAGCAGUGGGGAAUAUUGGGCAAUGGGCGCAAGCCUGACCCAGCAACGCCGCGUGAAUGAAGAAGGCUCUCGGGUUGUCAACUUCUUUUAUCAAGGACGAAACAAAUGACGGUACUUGAUGAAUAAACCACUGCUAACUACGUGCCAGCCGCCGCGGUAAUACGUAGGUGGCCAGCGUUAUCCGGAUUUACUGGUUGUAAAGGGCGUGUAGGCGGGACUGCAAGUCAGAUGUGAAAACCAUGUGCUCAACCAAUGGACUGCAUUUGAAACUGUAGUUCUUGAGUGUUGGAGAGGCAGGCGGAAUUCGGUGUGUAGCGGUGAAAUGCGUAGAUAUACGGAGGAACACCAGUGGCGAAGGCGGCCUGCUGGACAAUAACUGACGCUGAGGCGCGAAAGCGUGGGGAGCAAACAGGAUUAGAUACCCUUGUAGUC